RNAcentral lists this ribosomal RNA (440 nucleotides) under uncultured bacterium. RNAcentral's name for it is "partial 16S ribosomal RNA". It matches the Rfam family "Bacterial small subunit ribosomal RNA", at positions 338 to 795 of the family's 1533-position model. The record is from RNAcentral.
CCUACGGGAGGCAGCAGUGGGGAAUAUUGCACAAUGGGGGAAACCCUGAUGCAGCGACGCCGCGUGAGCGAAGAAGUAUUUCGGUAUGUAAAGCUCUAUCAGCAGGGAAGAAAAUGACGGUACCUGAGUGAGAAGCUCCGGCUAAAUACGUGCCAGCCACCGCGGGAAUACGUAUGGAGCAAGCGUUAUCCGGAUUUACUGGGCGUAAAGGGAGCGGAGGCGGCGUGCCAAGGUUGAGGUGAAAUACCGGGGCUCAACCCCGGGGCGGCAUUGGAAACUGUGUAACUGGAGUGCAGGAGAGGCAGGCGGAAUUCCUAGUGUAGCGGUGAAAUGCGUAGAUAUUAGGAGGAACACCAGUGGCGAAGGCGGCCUGCUGGACUUUAACUGACGUUGAGGCUCGAAAGCGUGGGGAGCAAACAGGAUUAGAUACCCUUGUAGUC